UACAUACUCCCUCCGUCCGAAAAAGCUUGUCCCUCAAAUGGAUAUAUCUAGUACUAACUUGGUACUAGAUACACCUAUUUGAGGGACAAACUUUUUCAAACAGAGGGAGUAUAUU
Triticum aestivum (bread wheat) is the source of this 115-nucleotide non-coding RNA. The record is from Rfam. Lineage: Eukaryota; Viridiplantae; Streptophyta; Magnoliopsida; Poales; Poaceae.